Molecule: signal recognition particle RNA, 263 nt
Filed under: Deltaproteobacteria bacterium
Lineage: Bacteria; Pseudomonadati; Myxococcota; Myxococcia
Description: signal recognition particle sRNA large type
Rfam family: Bacterial large signal recognition particle RNA
About the family: The signal recognition particle (SRP) is a universally conserved ribonucleoprotein involved in the co-translational targeting of proteins to membranes. Archaeal SRP consists of a 7S RNA and homologues of the eukaryotic SRP19 and SRP54 proteins. In most bacteria, the SRP consists of a 4.5S RNA and the Ffh protein (a homologue of the eukaryotic SRP54 protein).
Source: RNAcentral
UCGUGCUAGACGGGGAGCUAGCGGUGCCCUGUAACCCGAGAACCGCUUACGCGGGGUUGAAGCCCCUCUCCCGGGUCGCAGCGCAGCCAGGGCAAGGCUGUUCAGGGCGGCGGAUUGGACCCUGCGCAACAGACGCUGGCGAACCCCGUCAGGUCCGGGAGGAAGCAGCGGUAAGUCAGGCGGUCUGUGUCGCGGCGGCUGCUAAUCCAUCAACCCCCUGGCCCGCCACCCCGGCUGAGGCGGACACAAAAGAGGGUGCACGG